RNAcentral lists this long non-coding RNA (387 nucleotides) under Olea europaea (common olive). Its description in RNAcentral is "long non-coding RNA (OEUR_LNC004251)". Lineage: Eukaryota; Viridiplantae; Streptophyta; Magnoliopsida; Lamiales; Oleaceae. The record is from RNAcentral.
ACAAGUUACCAAAUUUUAAGGUUACGAUUUAAUACUUGGUCACAAAUAACCAAAUAAUUGGCCACAUACACCAGAUGGCAUGUCACACACCACGUCGCCAACAGUACAACUACGGCCACCGCCACUUGUUACCACCAUUGCUAGCAUCACACCACAAUCGCCAUUAGCAUCGCCAUUACAAUCGUCAGCACCACCAUCAACGCAUUAACCUACACCACCACAAAAAAAUCGUCACCAGAUCACAUUGCCCUCACUAUCACCGCCAACAGCUCUACCACCACAAACAUCGUCACUGCAUUUUGCUCUAACAAGCCACCCACCACCUCCACCUCCAAUCAACGAUCGUACUACCGCUGUCUGCUAAAAUCACCAUCUCUCCCAAUAUUA